This 407-nucleotide ribosomal RNA is filed under the name uncultured bacterium. RNAcentral describes it as "partial 16S ribosomal RNA". It matches the Rfam family "Bacterial small subunit ribosomal RNA", at positions 30 to 526 of the family's 1533-position model. The record is from RNAcentral.
AUUGAACGCUGGCGGCAGGCCUAACACAUGCAAGUCGAGCGGAGCGGCGGACGGGUGCGUAAUGCCUAGGAAUCUGCCUGGUAGUGGGGGAUAACGUCCGGAAACGGGUGCUAAUACCGCAUACUAUCAGAUGAGCCUAGGUCGGAUUAGCUAGUGGGGGGGGAAAAGGCCUACCAAGGCGACGAUCAGUAACUGGUCUGAGAGGAUGAUCAGUAACACUGGAACUGAGACACGGUCCAGACUCAUACGGGAGGCAGCAGUGGGGAAUAUUGGACAAUGGGCGCAAGCCUGAUGCAGCCAUGCCGCGUGUAUGAAGAAGGCCUUCGGGUUGUAAAGAACUUUCAGCUGGGAGGCGUUACCCGCAGAAGAAGCACCGGCUAACUCCGUGCCAGCAGCCGCGGUAAUUC